GUGAACGCUGGCGGUAGGCCUAACACAUGCAAGUCGAACGGCAGCACGGUAAGAGCUUGCUCUUACGGGUGGCGAGUGGCGGACGGGUGAGGAAUACAUCGGAAUCUACUUUUUCGUGGGGGAUAACGUAGGGAAACUUACGCUAAUACCGCAUACGACCUACGGGUGAAAGCAGGGGAUCUUCGGACCUUGCGCGAUUGAAUGAGCCGAUGUCGGAUUAGCUAGUUGGCGGGGUAAAGGCCCACCAAGGCGACGAUCCGUAGCUGGUCUGAGAGGAUGAUCAGCCACACUGGAGCUGAGACACGGUCCAGACUCCUACGGGAGGCAGCAGUGGGGAAUAUUGGACAAUGGGCGCAAGCCUGAUCCAGCCAUACCGCGUGGGUGAAGAAGGCCUUCGGGUUGUAAAGCCCUUUUGUUGGGAAAGAAAAGCAGCAGGUUAAUACCCCGCUGUUCUGACGGUACCCAAAGAAUAAGCACCGGCUAACUUCGUG
RNAcentral lists this ribosomal RNA (491 nucleotides) under uncultured bacterium. RNAcentral describes it as "partial 16S ribosomal RNA". It matches the Rfam family "Bacterial small subunit ribosomal RNA", at positions 29 to 507 of the family's 1533-position model. The record is from RNAcentral.